Molecule: ribosomal RNA, 543 nt
Filed under: uncultured Alternaria
Lineage: Eukaryota; Fungi; Ascomycota; Dothideomycetes; Pleosporales; Pleosporaceae
Description: eukaryotic LSU rRNA
Rfam family: 5.8S ribosomal RNA (bases 189-342)
Source: RNAcentral
GUGAACCUGCGGAGGGAUCAUUACACAAAUAUGAAGGCGGGCUGGAACCUCUCGGGGUUACAGCCUUGCUGAAUUAUUCACCCUUGUCUUUUGCGUACUUCUUGUUUCCUUGGUGGGUUCGCCCACCACUAGGACAAACAUAAACCUUUUGUAAUUGCAAUCAGCGUCAGUAACAAAUUAAUAAUUACAACUUUCAACAACGGAUCUCUUGGUUCUGGCAUCGAUGAAGAACGCAGCGAAAUGCGAUAAGUAGUGUGAAUUGCAGAAUUCAGUGAAUCAUCGAAUCUUUGAACGCACAUUGCGCCCUUUGGUAUUCCAAAGGGCAUGCCUGUUCGAGCGUCAUUUGUACCCUCAAGCUUUGCUUGGUGUUGGGCGUCUUGUCUCUAGCUUUGCUGGAGACUCGCCUUAAAGUAAUUGGCAGCCGGCCUACUGGUUUCGGAGCGCAGCACAAGUCGCACUCUCUAUCAGCAAAGGUCUAGCAUCCAUUAAGCCUUUUUUUCAACUUUUGACCUCGGAUCAGGUAGGGAUACCCGCUGAACUUAA